Molecule: ribosomal RNA, 654 nt
Filed under: Triticum aestivum (bread wheat)
Lineage: Eukaryota; Viridiplantae; Streptophyta; Magnoliopsida; Poales; Poaceae
Description: partial small subunit ribosomal RNA
Source: RNAcentral
AUGAUUAAAAAUGCUCAGUGUAAUAAACUGUUGGUUGGCUUAGCUGCGGAUCUGAUCCCUGAUGGAGUUGCGGUACUUCAGUACGCGGAUGACACAAUUAUCUGUCUUGAGCAUGACAUCGAUAAAGCAGUCAACCUGAAGUUGCUGUUGUAUAUGUUUGAAAUGAUGUCCGGGUUGAAAGUUAAUUUUCAAAAAAGUGAAAUCCUGACUGUCGGGGGAGACGAUGCUGUGAUUAAGCAAUACGCUGACCUCUUCGAUUGUGAUAUAGGCAGUUUCCCCAUUAAAUAUUUGGGCAUGCCUGUCAGUUAUACUACCUUGAGAAACUCCGAUUGGGAGUUCAUUGUUUGCAAAUACUUGAAAAGAUUUGAUGCUUGGGUAGGUAAUGCUGCGUCCAUAGGAGGGAGACAUACUUUGGUUGACUCUGUUGUCACUCAAUUAUCACUGUACCAUAUGUCCAUGUGGUUGUUGAACAAAACGUUCAUUGAGGAAUUGGAUAAACAUAGAAGAAGAUUCUUCUGGCAAGGCUGUACCAAAAAAAAAAAGAGAUACCAUCUUGUGAGAUGGAACAGGAUCUGCAGAUCCAAAGAAAAAGGGGGCCUGGGUACUAAAGACCUGCGCAAACAAAACAUUAGUUUGAUGGUGAAAUGGUGGUGA